This 253-nucleotide ribosomal RNA is filed under the name uncultured prokaryote. Its description in RNAcentral is "partial 16S ribosomal RNA". It matches the Rfam family "Bacterial small subunit ribosomal RNA", at positions 525 to 777 of the family's 1533-position model. The record is from RNAcentral.
ACGGAGGGUGCAAGCGUUAAUCGGAAUUACUGGGCGUAAAGCGCACGCAGGCGGUCUGUCAAGUCGGAUGUGAAAUCCCCGGGCUCAACCUGGGAACUGCAUUCGAAACUGGCAGGCUAGAGUCUUGUAGAGGGGGGUAGAAUUCCAGGUGUAGCGGUGAAAUGCGUAGAGAUCUGGAGGAAUACCGGUGGCGAAGGCGGCCAUCUGGCUCGGUACUGACGCUCAGGCGCGAAAGCGUGGGGAGCAAACAGGA